CAGCAGCCACGGUAAUACGAAGGGGGCUAGCGUUGCUCGGAAUGACUGGGCGUAAAGGGCGCGUAGGCGGCCAUUCAAGUUAGAUGUGAAAGCCCUGGGCUCAACCUAGGAAUUGCAUUUGAUACUGUUUGGCUUGAGUUCGGGAGAGGUGAGUGGAAUUCCCAGUGUAGAGGUGAAAUUCGUAGAUAUUGGGAAGAACACCAGUGGCGAAGGCGGCUCACUGGACCGACACUGACGCUGAGGCGCGAAAGCGUGGGGAGCAAACAGGAUUAGAUACCCGCGUAGUCCCUGUCUCUUAUAC
RNAcentral lists this ribosomal RNA (301 nucleotides) under uncultured bacterium. RNAcentral describes it as "partial 16S ribosomal RNA". It matches the Rfam family "Bacterial small subunit ribosomal RNA", at positions 509 to 807 of the family's 1533-position model. The record is from RNAcentral.